AAAAAAAAAACAUAACACAUAACUUUCCCUUUCCAUUCUCCUUCACUUCCGUUAGCUCUCUGUCCCUCAUUCCUCUUCUUCCAUUUCUUUUUCCUUCCUUUCCCAAAUCAAUCAUCCUUAAGAAUAAUUGGUCAUCUAAGUAAAGCAACUUCAUAUUCAAGCUCUAUUGGUAGAAUUUUGGGGGUUAGGGUUUGUGCUUUGAAGUAGAAGGAGAAUACCCAUAUUGUGAGAGUUGCUCAUUGAGACUCUUUGAGAUUCGGUGGAAAUUACUCCGGUGGUCAUUCAGAAAGGCAUCACUAGGAAUUGAGUUCUUUCGUCAUAUCUAUUCAAAGUCAAUUGUGUAGAAAGCUUCUAGCAGGGUUAAGGAUCUAUCAAUGUCACUCUUUUGGUAGGUUUCCUAUGUAUAUAAAUUGAAUGGUCGAUGUAUCUGCAGCUAUUGGUAGUCUAGAACUGUUCUGUUGAGUUGUACAAACAUCUAGUUAUGUUACUUUGAGAUUCUGGUUGAUAAUACAAGUUUAUAGACAGGAUUCAUAUCUUGGAAAAUAUUCAAAGUACAGAGGAUACUCUGUUGAAAUUUCA
Medicago truncatula (barrel medic) is the source of this 579-nucleotide long non-coding RNA. RefSeq lists it as uncharacterized. The transcript has 3 exons. The record is from RefSeq and is a predicted model, not a curated record. Lineage: Eukaryota; Viridiplantae; Streptophyta; Magnoliopsida; Fabales; Fabaceae.